Molecule: long non-coding RNA, 534 nt
Organism: Macrobrachium nipponense
Lineage: Eukaryota; Metazoa; Arthropoda; Malacostraca; Decapoda; Palaemonidae
Exons: 4
Source: RefSeq, a predicted model, not a curated record
GAAGAGAUCAACGACAAGCCGACCUGUGUAGUAAAUGAUGCCCCGUCCUGCGAGGGCUUCGAAUUCAUGGGUAUCUGUCACACCAAAAACUGGACAGCUUCUGCUACUCUCCAAGACAGUGGCUCUGGCAUGCAGAAGGUCUACCGAAGCCGGAGGGUUUCUCGUCUCUCGUCGACGACUUCACCCGCGGGUCAACGGAUCCGAUUAGGGCGUCUUUCGUCGCUCCUGCUGCCUCCUCCAGGUGGCGGACAUCAUCGGCGUCGACGUCGUCGGCAACGUCGGCAAAUGCCAGAUAGACAUGGGCGUUCUGGGAGGCGUGAUAUACGACUUCCAAGUCAUCGAAGUUGGAAUCACUUGGGCGUACUUGAGAUGGAGCCUCACUCCUAACGCCAUCGAGGUCCACAAAUACACUCUGGUUGAUAACGACGACUAUACCUGGGAGUUCCCGUGCAAGACGGAGACAUGCUACCGUAACGUAACGGACCUCGAACCCUGCCUUCUGCAAAACUUCAAACUGUCGCCCGUCUUCACCGU